Molecule: ribosomal RNA, 431 nt
Filed under: uncultured bacterium
Lineage: Bacteria
Description: partial 16S ribosomal RNA
Rfam family: Bacterial small subunit ribosomal RNA
Source: RNAcentral
AGCGAACGCUGGCGGCAGGCUUAACACAUGCAAGUCGAGCGCCCCGCAAGGGGCGCGGCUGACGGGUGUGUACCACGUGGGAACGUACCCUUUGGUUCGGAACAACCCAGGGAAACUUGGGCUAAUACCGGAUAAGUCCGCGAGGAGAAAGAAUUAUCGCCGAAGGAUCGGUCCGCGUCUGAUUAGCUAGUUGGUGUGGUAACGGCGCACCAAGGCGACGAUCAGUAGCUGGUCUGAGAGGAUGAUCAGCCACACUGGGACUGGGACACGGCCCAGACUCCUACGGGAGGCAGCAGUGGGGAAUAUUGGACAGCGGGGGCAGCGCUGAAGGAGCCAGGCCGGGUGAAUGAUGAAGGCACUGGAGUUGUAAAGCGCUAUCGGUGGGGAAGAUAAUGACGGUACCCACAGAAGAAGCCCCGGCUAACUUCGUG